CCCGCGAUAGCUCAGUCGGUAGAGCCAUCAGACUUUUAAUCUGAGGGUCCAGGUUCAAGUCCCUGUUUCGGGG
RNAcentral lists this transfer RNA (73 nucleotides) under Astyanax mexicanus (Mexican tetra). It matches the Rfam family "tRNA". Rfam says of the family: Transfer RNA (tRNA) molecules are approximately 80 nucleotides in length. Their secondary structure includes four short double-helical elements and three loops (D, anti-codon, and T loops). Further hydrogen bonds mediate the characteristic L-shaped molecular structure. tRNAs have two regions of fundamental functional importance: the anti-codon, which is responsible for specific mRNA codon recognition, and the 3' end, to which the tRNAs corresponding amino acid is attached (by aminoacyl-tRNA synthetases). tRNAs cope with the degeneracy of the genetic code in two manners: having more than one tRNA (with a specific anti-codon) for a particular amino acid; and 'wobble' base-pairing, i.e. permitting non-standard base-pairing at the 3rd anti-codon position. The record is from Rfam by way of RNAcentral. Lineage: Eukaryota; Metazoa; Chordata; Actinopteri; Characiformes; Acestrorhamphidae.